Molecule: ribosomal RNA, 497 nt
Filed under: uncultured bacterium
Lineage: Bacteria
Description: partial 16S ribosomal RNA
Rfam family: Bacterial small subunit ribosomal RNA
Source: RNAcentral
GAUGAACGCUGGCGGCGUGCCUAAUACAUGCAAGUCGAGCGAACAGACGAGGAGCUUGCUCCUCUGACGUUAGCGGCGGACGGGUGAGUAACACGUGGAUAACCUACCUAUAAGACUGGGAUAACUUCGGGAAACCGGAGCUAAUACCGGAUAACAUGUUGAACCGCAUGGUUCAACAGUGAAAGACGGUCUUGCUGUCACUUAUAGAUGGAUCCGCGCCGCAUUAGCUAGUUGGUAAGGUAACGGCUUACCAAGGCAACGAUGCGUAGCCGACCUGAGAGGGUGAUCGGCCACACUGGAACUGAGACACGGUCCAGACUCCUACGGGAGGCAGCAGUAGGGAAUCUUCCGCAAUGGGCGAAAGCCUGACGGAGCAACGCCGCGUGAGUGAAGAAGGUCUUCGGAUCGUAAAACUCUGUUAUUAGGGAAGAAAAAAUGUGUAAGUAACUAUGCACGUCUUGACGGUACCUAAUCAGAAAGCCACGGCUAACUACGUG